RNAcentral lists this ribosomal RNA (467 nucleotides) under uncultured bacterium. Its description in RNAcentral is "bacterial SSU rRNA". It matches the Rfam family "Bacterial small subunit ribosomal RNA", at positions 355 to 819 of the family's 1533-position model. The record is from RNAcentral.
UGGGGAAUUGUUCACAAUGGGCGCAAGCCUGAUGACGCAACGCCGCGUGGGGGAUGAAGGUCUUCGGAUCGUAAACCCCUGUCGAAUGGGACGAAAGACUCGCGAGUGAAUACUUCGCGAGAGUGACGGUACCGUUAAAGGAAGCCACGGCUAACUCUGUGCCAGCAGCCGCGGUAAUACAGAGGUGGCAAGCGUUGUUCGGAAUUACUGGGCGUAAAGGGCGCGUAGGCGGCCCUCUAAGUCAGACGUGAAAUCCCCCGGCUUAACCUGGGAACUGCGUCUGAUACUGGAGGGCUUGAGUAUGGGAGAGGGAUGUAGAAUUCCAGGUGUAGCGGUGAAAUGCGUAGAUAUCUGGAGGAAUACCGGUGGCGAAGGCGGCAUCCUGGACCAUUACUGACGCUGAGGCGCGAAAGCUAGGGGAGCAAACGGGAUUAGAUACCCCCGUAGUCCCUGAGCGGGCUGGCAAG